Molecule: ribosomal RNA, 352 nt
Filed under: uncultured bacterium
Lineage: Bacteria
Description: bacterial SSU rRNA
Rfam family: Bacterial small subunit ribosomal RNA
Source: RNAcentral
GGGCCCGCACAAGCGGUGGAGUAUGUGGUUUAAUUCGAUGCAACGCGAAGAACCUUACCAGGGUUUGACAUCCUGCGAAUCUCUUGGAAACGAGAGAGUGCCUUCGGGAACGCAGUGACAGGUGGUGCAUGGCUGUCGUCAGCUCGUGUCGUGAGAUGUUGGGUUAAGUCCCGCAACGAGCGCAACCCACGUCGUUAGUUGCCAGCAUUUAGUUGGGCACUCUAGCGAGACCGCCGGUGAUAAACCGGAGGAAGGUGUGGACGACGUCAAGUCAUCAUGGCCCUUACGGGUUGGGCUACACACGUGCUACAAUGGCAUCUACAGUGAGUUAAUCUCCAAAAGAUGUCUCAGU